GACAAAAUGGCCACUCCAGCCUGUGUAUCAUGGCUAAUUAAGAUGACUGAGAGCACUGGCUGUUCUGUCUUGAUUAGACCCUGAGGAAGAUAUAGUCUUUGAGGGAUUUUAUUAUCCCACAAUGUAAGAAAGCUCUCCAGAGAUUUUACCUCUGUCUCCCAGGAAAGAAACAAACAAGCAUUAUGAGGCUGGGCAGGACAUCCAAGAGUCUGGGCUUAGAUGCUUAUCAGGGGAACCAGCCCCCAAUAUUUCAAGGUCGUCAUGGCUGCCUCACUGUGCUCAGCAACUACAGGCAGAGUCCACCCCAUAUGAUCACUUUCUCAGUCUUCAUUAUCUGCCUGCAGGGCUCCUGCCAGUCAAAGUCAUUAUGCAGAAUUCCAGAUACUCAAGGUUGGAGAGCUACUAACCCAGUACAUGAAUUCCCAGUGUAUCUUUCAGUGUUCUGAACCUGUAUUUUACAUUUUCAGAAAAGUUGACCACAGAAGCAUGUUUAUAUUGUAUUAAAACAAACUAUUUUUCUGGAAAGUUUUCCCAUUAAGCGUCUAACCUCCAAGCAUCGAAUCCCAGGCCAAUUUGUUUCAAAGUACCAACCUGGAGAAAAUGCCCUGGAUUUGGAAGCAAAGUAUUGAAUGUUGGAAGUCUGAAUAAAGGAAUCAUACACUGUAUGUGCACCUGAAUGUACUUUACAAGCAUCAGUAGAACACUUCUGAUUGAAGCUUGGUCUUAUGAAGAUAAAAAUUUUAUGUGGACCACAGAUUCUCUAAAAAUCAAACUCCAAGUAGGAUCAACACAAAGACACCCACAUUCAGGUACAUCUUGUCAAAUGUGGAAAGGCAAGAAUGAAAUGAAAUGUUGACAGCAAGAGAAAAACAUCCCUUUAUAUACAGAGGAACCCCAGCAACAGUAACAGCUGAAUUCUUGUCAAAAGCAAUGGAGACCAGGGCUGGGAGUGGUGGCUUGCACCUGUAAUCCUAGCACUUCGGGAGGCCAAGGCAGGUGGA
Molecule: long non-coding RNA, 1001 nt
Filed under: Homo sapiens (human)
Lineage: Eukaryota; Metazoa; Chordata; Mammalia; Primates; Hominidae
Description: HSALNT0361840
Source: RNAcentral